Molecule: ribosomal RNA, 776 nt
Filed under: uncultured Neocallimastigales
Lineage: Eukaryota; Fungi; Neocallimastigomycota; Neocallimastigomycetes; Neocallimastigales
Description: partial large subunit ribosomal RNA
Rfam family: Eukaryotic large subunit ribosomal RNA
Source: RNAcentral
UACGACUACAUAUCAGGCAUAUCAAUAAGCGGAGGAAAAGAAACUAACUAAGGAUUCCCUUAGUAACGGCGAGUGAAGCGGGAAGAGCUCAAAUUUGAAAUCUUCAAGGUUCUACCUUGACGAAUUGUAGUUUAAAGAAGUGUUUUCUGUUGGAGUUUUGGUAAAAGUUCUUUGGAAUAGGACAUCAUAGAGGGUGAGAAUCCCGUAUUUGACCGUUACUUUUCAGCUGUGUGAUACACUUUCAAAGAGUCGGAUUGUUUGGGAAUGCAGUCCAAAAUGGGUGGUAAAUUUCAUCUAAAGCUAAAUAUUGGCGAGAGACCGAUAGCGAACAAGUACCGUGAGGGAAAGAUGAAAAGAACUUUGAAAAGAGAGUUAAACAGUACGUGAAAUUGUCAAAAGGGAAGCGUUUGACACCAGUGUUGUUUUCUCGAAAAUCAAUUCAAUAGUUUUUGAUUCUAAGUAGUAUUGACUUCAUCAGCUUGCUGCUUUCUUCUCAGAAAUUAUUGAAUGCACUUUUCAGUUAACAAGUCAACAUCAAUUUCUUUUGUUGUAAAAGGGUAAGAGGAAGGUGGCUUGCGCUUCGGCUCAAGUGUUUAUAGCCUUUUAUCUCUGCAAUCGGAGAGAUUGAGGUCUGCAGCGUAGAUCCUUCGGGGUUAGAUACAUCGGUGCUAAGCUAUAGCCUUGUAUAGACAACUUGUUGACUAUGCUCAGUCAUGUAGCUUACUCGCUGAUGCUAUUUUACCUACGCUUAGGAUGUUGAUCUCUCACAGUCGAGC